UACGUAGGGGGCAAGCGUUAUCCGGAUUUACUGGGUGUAAAGGGAGCGUAGACGGAAUGGCAAGUUGGAUGUGAAAGGCAUGGGCUCAACCCGUGGACUGCAUUCAAAACUGUCAGUCUGGAGUAUCGGAAGGGCAGGCGGAAUUCCUGGUGUAGCGGUGAAAUGCGUAGAGAUCAGGAGGAACACCGGUGGCGAAGGCGGCCUGCUGGACGGUAACUGACGUUGAGGCUCGAAGGCGUGGGGAGCAAAC
RNAcentral lists this ribosomal RNA (250 nucleotides) under uncultured prokaryote. RNAcentral describes it as "partial 16S ribosomal RNA". It matches the Rfam family "Bacterial small subunit ribosomal RNA", at positions 524 to 773 of the family's 1533-position model. The record is from RNAcentral.